Molecule: unclassified non-coding RNA, 326 nt
Filed under: plant metagenome
Description: partial contains small subunit ribosomal RNA, internal transcribed spacer 1, and 5.8S ribosomal RNA
Source: RNAcentral
UUUCCGUAGGUGAACCUGCGGAAGGAUCAUCAACAAAUCCAAUCUUUCAACCCCACACACUGCUCUAUGCGAACUGUAUCUUUUCUUCCUCUUUCUCCUCUUUCUCUUUCGCAAGAGAGAGCCGGGGGGGGGGGGGGAGGGGAAAAACCCCAAAACACACCAAAAAUUUAUCUCGUACAUUCGAGCCUAAGUCUAAAAGUGAAGUUUUGUUGGACCUGGAGGGAGAGGGGGGGAAACCCCUCUUUUCUUUCGGGAAAAACGAAAAGUUUCAUCUUAAACAAUAAAAAAUUAAGACACAACUUUUAACAACGGAUCUCUUGGCUCUC